This is a long non-coding RNA of Sinocyclocheilus grahami, 1345 nucleotides long. RefSeq lists it as uncharacterized. The transcript is spliced from 3 exons. Lineage: Eukaryota; Metazoa; Chordata; Actinopteri; Cypriniformes; Cyprinidae. The record is from RefSeq and is a predicted model, not a curated record.
UAUGAGCAGGCGCUGACAGCGGAGGAGCUGCGCAGGAGGAGACAGGCCUACUUCGACAGGCAGCAGGCUCAGUCCUCCGCUCACCACAGCAGCUCCGCCGGCGGAGAGAAGGACAGCGGGACCAAACCCAGCCAGUGACGGUCCAUCAGCGCCGGUGACGGACGCCCUCGACCCGACCUCUCUCUGGGAAUGCUGGGACUCUCACCUCCUCUCAGAACUGGCCCGGGACCGAUCGGGUCCUGCUGUGUAAUAAAGGGACAUUCGUUUAGCUUCGCUUCUCCUCUUUGAGUUGGACGAGGUGAAAGGGAAGCGUUUCUCCGGAUCAUUCCUCUUCCUCAGACGGACACACGAGCGAGACGAGACCGCGGCGUGAGGAGGGAGCUGUCAGCGCUGGGAUCACUCCUGCAUUCUGGGACCGUUGGGCUUUACUGGCGUUACUGGAUCUCUCUGCUCUUCUCCUCUGUGGACUGUAGUGAAGACCUUCUGCUGGUCACCAGUGAUUCACUCUCACGCGCCCUAGUUAGACAGCACAGUGUGCGUGAGGAGAUCAGUCAUCGUUCAGAUUCAGACCUUCACUUGUUUUAGUCGUUCAUCAGUCGUUCCUCAUUUGUUGGCAGGCAGCAGCUCUUUUGGAUCUAGGUUGUGAUUUCUCAUGGUUUUCUAUGAUUUCAUGCGUUUGGUGGCACAGCAGCGUUUCUGAACUCGUUUCACAUUCAGCAGUAGUUUUUAAGUGAUUGGUUGUUCUCGCACUCCUAUAUACACUUAUUGUUUCUUAAAUAAAAACCUUUCUUUUUCCCCUGAGUGGAUGUUCUUUGUUUCUUCUCUUGAUUCUGUGAGCCUCUUGAAGACGUCAGAUGUUCCUUCAGCGUUUAGUGCUGGAGUUUCAUUCCCGAUGGAAAGAAGAGCGAGUCUGUCAGUGAAUACUGUGUACAAACUACUGUAAAUACGAUGGAGUGAUGCACUGUGUCAAAGUUAUACUCCGAGCAUCCAGUCAAAAAAGUGAAACGUUCCCACAUUUAAUCAUAUCGAAUUGAAAGAAUCGCACAACGGAGGAGAUUAUUUUCAGUGAAACAUCUGAUGCACAGACUUCAUCAAGCAGACAAAUGAAGAUCAUCUUCAGCUGUGAUCAUGAUUCAGAUGCUUCACUUGAGGACAAAGACUGACGGCACAGCACACAAACAAAUGACAAAAUGAUCAUUCAGUCCGUCAUCAUUUACUCUCCUCGUGUCGUCUGAAACCUCCUGCCUUCUGCGGAAUAUAAAAGCAGCGUUUCUGUCCAUACAGUGAAAGUCAGUGGUUGUUUUGGAUGACAUUGACGCUCACUCUGUGGGCUAAACUUUACUGU